Molecule: ribosomal RNA, 491 nt
Filed under: uncultured bacterium
Lineage: Bacteria
Description: partial 16S ribosomal RNA
Rfam family: Bacterial small subunit ribosomal RNA
Source: RNAcentral
AGUGAACGCUGGCGCUAGGCCUAACACAUGCAAGUCGAACGGCAGCACAGUAAGAGCUUGCUCUUACGGGUGGCGAGUGGCGGACGGGUGAGGAAUACAUCGGAAUCUACUUUUUCGUGGGGGAUAACGUAGGGAAACUUACGCUAAUACCGCAUACGACCUACGGGUGAAAGCAGGGGAUCUUCGGACCUUGCGCGAUUGAAUGAGCCGAUGUCGGAUUAGCUAGUUGGCGGGGUAAAGGCCCACCAAGGCGACGAUCCGUAGCUGGUCUGAGAGGAUGAUCAGCCACACUGGAGCUGAGACACGGUCCAGACUCCUACGGGAGGCAGCAGUGGGGAAUAUUGGACAAGGGGCGCAAGCCUGAUCCAGCCAUACCGCGUGGGUGAAGAAGGCCUUCGGGUUGUAAAGCCCUUUUGUUGGGAAAGAAAAGCAGCAGGUUAAUACCCCGCUGUUCUGACGGUACCCAAAGAAUAAGCACCGGCUAACUUCGU